Molecule: ribosomal RNA, 1440 nt
Filed under: Mycobacterium avium complex sp.
Lineage: Bacteria; Bacillati; Actinomycetota; Actinomycetes; Mycobacteriales; Mycobacteriaceae
Description: bacterial SSU rRNA
Rfam family: Bacterial small subunit ribosomal RNA
Source: RNAcentral
ACAUGCAAGUCGAACGGAAAGGCCCCUUCGGGGGUACUCGAGUGGCGAACGGGUGAGUAACACGUGGCCAAUCUGCCCUGCACUUCGGGAUAAGCCUGGGAAACUGGGUCUAAUACCGGAUAGGACCUUUAGGCGCAUGUCUUUAGGUGGAAAGCUUUUGCGGUGUGGGAUGGGCCCGCGGCCUAUCAGCUUGUUGGUGGGGUGAUGGCCUACCAAGGCGACGACGGGUAGCCGGCCUGAGAGGGUGUCCGGCCACACUGGGACUGAGAUACGGCCCAGACUCCUACGGGAGGCAGCAGUGGGGAAUAUUGCACAAUGGGCGCAAGCCUGAUGCAGCGACGCCGCGUGGGGGAUGACGGCCUUCGGGUUGUAAACCUCUUUCACCAUCGACGAAGGUCCGGGUUUUCUCGGAUUGACGGUAGGUGGAGAAGAAGCACCGGCCAACUACGUGCCAGCAGCCGCGGUAAUACGUAGGGUGCGAGCGUUGUCCGGAAUUACUGGGCGUAAAGAGCUCGUAGGUGGUUUGUCGCGUUGUUCGUGAAAUCUCACGGCUUAACUGUGAGCGUGCGGGCGAUACGGGCAGACUAGAGUACUGCAGGGGAGACUGGAAUUCCUGGUGUAGCGGUGGAAUGCGCAGAUAUCAGGAGGAACACCGGUGGCGAAGGCGGGUCUCUGGGCAGUAACUGACGCUGAGGAGCGAAAGCGUGGGGAGCGAACAGGAUUAGAUACCCUGGUAGUCCACGCCGUAAACGGUGGGUACUAGGUGUGGGUUUCCUUCCUUGGGAUCCGUGCCGUAGCUAACGCAUUAAGUACCCCGCCUGGGGAGUACGGCCGCAAGGCUAAAACUCAAAGGAAUUGACGGGGGCCCGCACAAGCGGCGGAGCAUGUGGAUUAAUUCGAUGCAACGCGAAGAACCUUACCUGGGUUUGACAUGCACAGGACGCGUCUAGAGAUAGGCGUUCCCUUGUGGCCUGUGUGCAGGUGGUGCAUGGCUGUCGUCAGCUCGUGUCGUGAGAUGUUGGGUUAAGUCCCGCAACGAGCGCAACCCUUGUCUCAUGUUGCCAGCGGGUAAUGCCGGGGACUCGUGAGAGACUGCCGGGGUCAACUCGGAGGAAGGUGGGGAUGACGUCAAGUCAUCAUGCCCCUUAUGUCCAGGGCUUCACACAUGCUACAAUGGCCGGUACAAAGGGCUGCGAUGCCGCAAGGUUAAGCGAAUCCUUUUAAAGCCGGUCUCAGUUCGGAUUGGGGUCUGCAACUCGACCCCAUGAAGUCGGAGUCGCUAGUAAUCGCAGAUCAGCAACGCUGCGGUGAAUACGUUCCCGGGCCUUGUACACACCGCCCGUCACGUCAUGAAAGUCGGUAACACCCGAAGCCAGUGGCCUAACCCUUGGGAGGGAGCUGUCGAAGGUGGGAUCGGCGAUUGGGACGAAGUCGUAACAA